AAAUUUAAUUUGUAAACUAAAGUAUUAAUAGUUAUAUUCUUUAAACUUAAAAAAUUUGGCGGUAUUUUAGUCUGUUCAGAGGAACCUGUUUUGUAAUCGAUAAUCCUCGUUGUACCUUACUUAAAUUUAUAUUAGUUUGUAUACCGUCGUUAUAGAAAAUUUUAUAAGAAAAAUAAUUUUCAAUAAAUUAAAUUAAAUUAUAUAUCAGAUCAAGGUGCAGCAUAUAUUUAAGUUUUUAAUGGGUUACAAUAAAAUAAUUUAUGUGAAUUUAAAUAUGAAAAAUUUAUUGAAAAUGGAUUUGAAAGUAAAAUUAUAAAGAUUAAUAAUUUGAUUUUAGCUCU
This 341-nucleotide ribosomal RNA is filed under the name Megaselia aequalis. RNAcentral's name for it is "partial 12S ribosomal RNA". The record is from RNAcentral. Lineage: Eukaryota; Metazoa; Arthropoda; Insecta; Diptera; Phoridae.